UCCAGGGGGGAUACUUAUCACUUUCGCUUAGCCACUGAGAUUGCUCCCAACAGCUAGUAUCCAUCGUUUACGGCGUGGACUACCAGGGUAUCUAAUCCUGUUCGCUACCCACGCUUUCGUCCAUCAGCGUCAAUCCAUUAGUAGUAACCUGCCUUCGCAAUUGGUAUUCCAUGUAAUCUCUAAGCAUUUCACCGCUACACUACAUAUUCUAGUUACUUCCUAAUAAUUCAAGUUUAACAGUAUCAAUGGCCGUUCCACCGUUGAGCGAUGGGCUUUCACCACUGACUUAUUAAACCGCCUACGGACCCUUUAAACCCAAUGAUUCCGGAUAACGCUUGGAUCCUCCGUAUUACCGCGGCUGCUGGCACGGAGUUAGCCGAUCCUUAUUCUUACAGUACCGUCAAGCUCCCUCACGAGGGAGUGUUUCUUCCUGUACAAAAGCAGUUUACAAUCCAUAGGACCGUCAUCCUGCACGCGGCAUGGCUGGAUCAGGCUUGCGCCCAUUGUCCAAUAUUCCUCACUGCUGCCUCCCGUA
Molecule: ribosomal RNA, 535 nt
Filed under: uncultured Bacteroidota bacterium
Lineage: Bacteria; Pseudomonadati; Bacteroidota
Description: uncultured Bacteroidetes bacterium partial 16S ribosomal RNA
Source: RNAcentral